CUGACAAUGCCCACAGUUGAGGACAGCUCCCAGCUCCAUCCUAUCCCCGAACACAAUAAGAGAUCUAAAUACAUCUAGAUGCAGUACACACAUCUUUGGGAUCUGUGAGACACCAACAAAAGCAGCAACACCAGCUAAUUUGAUGUUUUCCAGCCCGGAGACAUUAAGUAAAUCUGUAAUGUAAUUGACAAUGCUUCACCCUUGCUGAGAUGAACAUAGAGCAAUGAUUGAAAUGGUUAUAAAACAGCAUGGCUGAAAACGACAUCAUAAUGUUGUGGGAUAAUUCACAACGCGAAGACUAAGGAGUGGGGUUUCCUGAAUCUAUCCAUGAAAUAAUUCAUUGUAUAUCACUUGAAUGAUGCAUUUAUACUCCAGGCAUUGCACAAGCUUGAUUCUGAUAGAUAUCUUUGUGUUACUUCAUCAUUUGUGAAGUCUGUGUGUUCACAAGUUUUUAAUUUGAAAAUGGAAAAUCAAAUGUUAAAUUAAAGUAUCUCGUAACAAA
Molecule: long non-coding RNA, 502 nt
Organism: Rhincodon typus (whale shark)
Lineage: Eukaryota; Metazoa; Chordata; Chondrichthyes; Orectolobiformes; Rhincodontidae
Exons: 2
Source: RefSeq, a predicted model, not a curated record